CCUCCGCCUCUGCACAGAUAGAGAGAGAAAGAGGUUUAGAGAGAGAAGCAUAAAGAGAGGGAGGCGAUCAGAGAUGAGAUACUAAAGGAGGCCGCCCAUGGCCUAUCGGAACUGAAUCAACGUCCUCACAGGAAGCUUUUCAUGAUUUCAUCUUGGAUUUCAAAAGAUUUAGGAGAAAAUACGUUUUAGAGAGACGGUGACGGAAUUUAAGACAUCGCCGGAGUGGCAGUGACGAUUUCAACACCUGGGUUAAGGAAGGUGGAGAUAUAUCGACGUCUCCACCAGGAGGUAGCGGGUGGCGGUAGCACUGCGGCAUCCACAUUUCUGUUGUGGUGGCGGGCUGGUGGCAAUUUAAUGGUUAUGGACCGGUGGUGUUGCGUUGGGCUGGUGAUGUAGAUAGAGUGGGGUGAGAGGUAUUUCACAGACAAAGACAUAAUGUUUGGAAGCUUUUGCCGGAUUUCAAAUGUUUUUAUGAAUUAGAAUUAAUAAUAGUCUGGAAUCCAGCAUUAUCCCAAAAAAAGGCCAAAGAUGUUGUAAUUAUCAAAUAAAAAAUAUGACAUAUUAUUAGGUAUUUGUAAUAUACCAGCACUUUUAAAGAGUUUAGAAAAAUUGACAUCCAACUACACUUGCAAAUCGGAACGAAAAAUAUAACUAAAAUUAUUUAUAAAAUAAAGUAAGUAAAGAAAGACAAAAUGAAAACAAAUGUAGUGUCUAAAAUUAAAAUAGAGCAUGGCAUAACCGCAAUUAAAGUCCAACUUAAAAACUAAACUAAGAUAUCAAAAUCAAUGUGUGGCUGAACAAGUCAUGUAACGGGUCAAAAUAGGUAUUUCAUUGAUUUGGCGCAAAACAUUACGACUUCACCCUAAACGUUAUUUGUUCGCAUAUGUGUUAAAAGGUAUUAGAGAUAAAAGGAAAUAGUUUCUAUGGAUUAUAAAUUGGGCAAACUUAGCUACAAUUGAUUGGUCAUUGUGGUGUGAUUUUAGUUCAAUUAAUUUUUUAGUGCCGUGAUAUGUUUGUGGUUGUAAUAUGUUUGUUGUAGCCCACUAGCCCUAAACUUUUAGUCGACUCCCCAUGAGAACGUCAAAAUGAAGGAUAUUAGAGACUUGACAACUUGAUAUGGGUUACCAAAAGUAAUAAUAGAGAUUGGGGUAUUUUUUAACACAAUCCUUCGUUAAUAUAAGAUAUAUACUACGACUUUAGAGAUGGUAAUAUUGGAUUAAUUAGUUUUACGUUGGGGUUAGACCGAUAGAGAGAAUUGCAAUUUUACUUUCUCUAUCUUGAAUUUUGUUUUGACUUUUAGGUCCAACAUGCUACAUUUAGACAAUUUGUUAAGAAAGAUUUACACUUUAGUGUUUCCAAACAGUAGUCGUAAAUUUAGUUUGACUUUAGUGUCAAACUUACUAAAUUUAGACAACUCCUUAUAAAAAAUUACACUUAAAACUUUAAUGAUAUUAAUCUUGAAUUCAUUUUGACUUUUUAUUGUAGUCAAACCUUCCACAUUUAGUGCAUUCCUUGGGAAAAGAUUGGUACCAACUUCAGGACAGUAGUCAUAAAUUGGGUUUCACGUUUUUGGGUCAAACCUGCUAUGCAUUACACAUUAGUUAUGGUCAGAUUUGCUUACUAUUUCCAUAAUUCACCAUAUGUUGACAAUGAUCAUAACCUAGCAGUACAGAUCUUAGGUUGUGAUUUUGCGUUUUGUCAGGUUUUGAGACCGGAUAUGAUAUGAGAUGAUCGUCGAGUGUUGCUGUUAGCCUUGAGUUGCCUAGCCUAACUGGCACAGUGGCAUCUUUUCGUGUACAUGAUACAUGUUCUUAGGGAAAUGUUAGGUAACGGGUCAGAACAGGUCGAGUUGGCCGUAAAUUUGUGAAUUUGUUUACAUUAGAAGUGUUCAAUACAUACGUGAAUAUUCUGUUUUGCCGCCGCAAAGCGCGGCAUGGCAAAAUCCUAGUAUUAACUAAAAAACAAAGAAGACUGAUAAAAAUUUGUUGCUUUG
RNAcentral lists this long non-coding RNA (1993 nucleotides) under Helianthus annuus (common sunflower). Its description in RNAcentral is "hypothetical non coding rna". Lineage: Eukaryota; Viridiplantae; Streptophyta; Magnoliopsida; Asterales; Asteraceae. The record is from RNAcentral.